GACGUAGGAGGCGAGCGUUGUCCGGAUUCAUUGGGCGUAAAGAGCACGCAGGCGGUUUGGCAAGUCGGAUGUGAAAACCCGGAGCUCAACUCCGGACCUGCAUCCGAAACUGCCCGACUAGAGGUAGGUAGGGGAGAUCGGAAUUCCUGGUGUAGCGGUGAAAUGCGCAGAUAUCAGGAGGAACACCGGUGGCGAAGGCGGAUCUCUGGGCAUCUCCUGACGCUGAGGCGCGAAAGCGUGGGGAGCAAACGGG
Molecule: ribosomal RNA, 253 nt
Filed under: uncultured bacterium
Lineage: Bacteria
Description: partial 16S ribosomal RNA
Rfam family: Bacterial small subunit ribosomal RNA
Source: RNAcentral